UGACUGCUCUGACCCUGCCAUCCCAGCCCAGAAGCCACCGAGGGACAGAGAUGGUGUGCAGAAUCCUUGUGAAGAGAAAACACAACGACACAGGGAUGUGAUGAAAAAGUAUUGUCCUGCCUGUAUACAUUUUAUAUACAUAGAAGGUUUUGAAAAUAGAAAGUGCCUGGACAACAGCAGUUGGUGAAAUGUGGAAAAUAUGUUGCUGAGAAACAAGCUUCUUAGCUCAGCUGCCCUGUGAAAUGCUUACCCCACUGUUGGCACUGGAAGUGGCAUCCUGUUAACUGAAAGAUGACCAGGUAGAGAACCUUUUAUCUGCAGAAUGAGACAGCAGCAGCUCCCCUCCACCUGCCUUAUUCAAGUGCUGUUUUGCUGUGUACUCUGUUUUACACAGGAAUAAGAAUAACACAGUAGAGAGUUGGGU
Long non-coding RNA from Melospiza melodia melodia, 424 nucleotides. RefSeq lists it as uncharacterized. The record is from RefSeq and is a predicted model, not a curated record. NCBI's taxonomy places the organism in Eukaryota, Metazoa, Chordata, Aves, Passeriformes, Passerellidae. The transcript has 3 exons.